GCUCUUUCAAAAUCGCUCAGCUCCGCCUAUAUUGGAGGGGUCGGUCGCAAGGCCGGCUAUGGCGAUAAACGGCUACUGGAAUAAACCCAUCUGACCCGGGGGCGGUACCCGGCGCAUCCACCAGAAUCCGGUCUCGACCUGGGUUUCGGCAGGGGCGAAAGCAAGAUCGACGAGGGCCUAAAGGGUAGACUUUCGCUCGGCAUGGUUCCGCCGACAUCGGGCCGGUUCAGUCGUUGCCAACGACAACUAUGCUCCGGUUGCGGUAGCCGCGUCAGCGGCUCCUGACGCCGGUUCGAAAGUCCUGGCGGUUCACGCCGUCAGGCGGGGUUCGGAGGCGCCCGGCGACGCAAGCCUUCUCG
RNAcentral lists this transfer-messenger RNA (359 nucleotides) under Microvirga aerilata. RNAcentral's name for it is "Alphaproteobacteria transfer-messenger RNA". It matches the Rfam family "Alphaproteobacteria transfer-messenger RNA". Rfam says of the family: Bacterial tmRNA, also known as 10Sa RNA or SsrA, is named for its dual tRNA and mRNA-like properties. Its role is to liberate the mRNA from a stalled ribosome. Lineage: Bacteria; Pseudomonadati; Pseudomonadota; Alphaproteobacteria; Hyphomicrobiales; Methylobacteriaceae. The record is from Rfam by way of RNAcentral.